AAUCGAUCUCUCCCACAUAAACCUAGGGUUUCGCCUCUCCAGUCCGCUUCUUCUUCUUCUUCUUCUUCGCUGGACAUCUCCUAGAUUUGCUGCUUCUGCUGCUGCUGCUGGGGCUCACAGAUCUAAGACGGCUCUCACUUCCCAGCUCUGCUCUUCGCUCUCUUGCUCUCCACCAUGUUCUGGAAGCUCACCUCUCUCUCCGCCUCCUCGCCUGUGGAGACGGUGCUAGACAAGGAGAAUUUUACGUUGGAAGAGCUUCUGGAUGAAGAAGAGAUUAUCCAAGAAUGCAAAGCCUUAAACACUCGACUCAUUAAUUUUUUGCGGGAUAGUGCCCAGGUGGAGCAAUUACUCCAUUAUAUUGUUGAAGAGCCUCCCAAGGAUGCUGAAAGCAAACGAACCUUCAAGUUCCCCUUCAUUGCGUGUGAGGUCUUUACAUGUGAAAUUGAUGUAAUUCUAAAGACUUUGGUGGAGGAAGAGGAGCUCAUGGACUUACUCUUCUCCUUCUUAGAACCAAAUCGUACUCAUAGUGCCCUGCUGGCUGGGUAUUUUAGCAAGGUCGUUGUAUGCCUUAUGAUACGGAAGACUGUCCCACUUAUGAAUUAUGUUCAAGCCCAUCAGGAUGUUUUCCGGCAACUAGUUGAUUUGAUAGGGAUUACAUCUAUCAUGGAGGUUUUGGUUCGACUUGUUGGCGCGGACGACCAUGUGUACCCCAAUUUCAUAGAUGUGAUGCAAUGGUUAGCUGAGAGUAAUCUGCUAGAGAUGAUUGUUGACAAAUUGAGUCCAUCUAAUCCUCCCGAAGUUCAUGCUAAUGCAGCAGAAACACUUUCUGCUAUAACUCGAAAUGCCCCAUCCGCACUAGCCAACAAACUUUCUAGCCCAAGUUUCGUCACAAGGAUAUUUGAGCAUGCAUUGGAAGAUUCAGCUUCAAAGUCUGGUCUUGUAAACUCACUUUCUGUCUGCAUAUCUUUGUUGGAUCCCAAAAGAUCAGCAGCUUCAUCACCCUUGUUUCAUUCUUUUCGGAGCCAACAUAUGUACGAGUCUCCUAUCCCUGUUAAUCCAGACACUGUCAGUGCAAUGCUCCCAAAACUCGGUGAUUUGCUUACACUUUUGAACGUGGCAUCGGAUGAGCAAGUAUUGCCGACAACAUAUGGAGAGCUGAGGCCUCCACUUGGAAAGCACCGUCUAAAGGUUGUGGAAUUCAUUGCUGUUUUAUUGAGAUCUGGCAAUGAAGAUGCAGAAAAAGAACUGGUUAGCUCGGGAACCAUCCAACGGGUCAUUGAUCUUUUCUUUGAGUAUCCAUUCAAUAACUCAUUGCAUCAUCAUGUUGAUAGUAUCAUAAUGUCAUGUUUGGACAGCAAGAGUGAUGCCAUUGUGGACCAUCUUCUUCGAGAGUGUGAUUUAUUGGGGAAGUUUCUCCAAACAGAUAAACAUCCUCUUGUUUCUGGUGAUACCAGCAAGCCAACAAUGCCUGCUGUGGGGAAAAAGAUUCCACGGGCAGGAAACCUUGGACAUAUAACAAGAAUUUCAAAUAAGCUCAUUCAGUUGGGAAACAGCCAAAGCCGUGUCCAAGCAUGCCUGCAGGAAAAUAGUGAAUGGAAUGAGUGGCAAGUCACAGUUCUGCAAGAGCGCAAUGCAGUUGAAAAUGUUUAUCGAUGGGCCUGCGGGCGGCCAACUGCCUUACAAGACAGAACAAGGGAUAGUGAUGAUGAUGAGAUGGCUGACAGAGAUUAUGAUGUAGCAGAGCUAGCAAACAAUCUAAGCCAGGCUUUUAGAUACAAAAUAUAUGGGAAUGAGGAUGCAGGGGAGGACAAUGGAACUCUUGAUAGAGAUGACGAGGACGUGUACUUUGAUGAUGAAUCUGCUGAAGUGGUCAUAUCAUCCCUGAGGCUCGGUGAUGACCAUGGGAGCAGUUUAUUCACAAAUUCAAACUGGUUUGCAUUCCAAGAUGAUAGAAUUGGCAAUACAUCUAUGGAUGCAUCACCCUCAGACAUGAUGGACGAUGUAAACUUGAAUGGGACUGGGAAUGGUGGAAACAGUAGCAGUGAUGAUGAGGUUGUUGUAGGGGAGGAUGAUGAGUUGAAUGGAAGUAAAGACUCUGUCAAUGACACAUCCAGUUCCAGCAAAGACCAGUUGAAUGGACCGAGUGGGAGUGGUUCCAUGAGUGAUGGAAACCUGAAUCCGGAGGGAGAGAAUGCAAGUGCCUCGCAUGAUAUGGGGUUCUUCAGAUUCGAGUCAACUGACAAUGAGGAUUUGUUUGGCGACAGGCCUUUGCCUGAAUGGGUAAGUUGGGGUGAAUCAUCUGAUUUGCAAGUUGGUGGUGCAAGUGUAAAUCCAUUUGAGGAUCACAAUGACUCUGAUGUGAUGUCUUCCACUCAACCUGAGCUAGUGAUACCAGAUACUAAUUUGCCUUCAAGUGGAGGAGAAUCUAUACUUCCAAAUGGUUCUCCAACCACCACUAAUACUUUGAGUGAAGGGUCAGAGGGCAGCGAUGUGACCCAUAGAUCAACUGCUGUACCAUCAUUGUUUGAAGAGGAUGUUGAAUUUGUUGGUGUGGAACUAGUAGGUACCGAGAAGGCAAUGGAUCAGGCUCUCAAAGAGGGAAUAGUUGGGGAGGCUGGGCCAUUGAAGAAAAACUUCACGUCAAAGGUGCCAGAAAAGGAAAAUUCGGAUGAGGGUGGGCCAGAAAGUAAGGAGUUCAAUGAUGCCAAUUAUUGGCGUGUCGAUCAGGAGGUUGCUGUUCUGGAGUAAUUAUAGGUUGAUGAUCCUGCCUGGGUUUGCAAAUCCGAAAUUGGAUCUGACGGCCACAGAUCCGAUUUUGGGUUGGAAGCGCCGAAGUGGCUUGCACCAGUCAUGUACAGUAUUACGUUUGUUACGAAAUGGGAUCAAAUGGUCCAGUUCUUUCUUCUUUUCUUUAUUAUGGCCGAAAUCAUUCUUAAAGUGGAACCUGGACUCCUUUAUUGGUUAGGUAUUCUUGUUCUAUACUAGAAGUUUUGAUAUUAAUGUAUUUCCUUGUCUUUCACUGAAUAAUUAGCUGGCAAAAACGUUGGAAUUUUUGCUCUAAUGUUUAGGUUAUCUUGCCAUCUGAUAUUGGUCGUUAUUUGAGAUUUGCAUGGAACCUUUGUCUGUCAAGUAGCUCUGAAGUACACCUUUUUUUAGUCACAA
Argentina anserina (silverweed cinquefoil) is the source of this 3162-nucleotide RNA transcript. RefSeq lists it as uncharacterized. The transcript has 20 exons. NCBI's taxonomy places the organism in Eukaryota, Viridiplantae, Streptophyta, Magnoliopsida, Rosales, Rosaceae. The record is from RefSeq and is a predicted model, not a curated record.